UGCAUCAGCCGGAAAUCGAACCCGGGUCGCCCGCGUGGCAGGCGAGCAUUCUACCACUGAACCACCGAUGC
Molecule: transfer RNA, 71 nt
Filed under: Cordylochernes scorpioides
Lineage: Eukaryota; Metazoa; Arthropoda; Arachnida; Pseudoscorpiones; Chernetidae
Description: tRNA-Gly
Source: RNAcentral